CGUACCAACGGGUGCAAGAUGGAAACGGGGAGAGAGAGAGGGAGAGGUUGGAGCUUUGGAAAGGGUUAAGGUCCUGAAAGAGGGCAGGGAGCCGAAGUGAGAAGGGUUUCAGCAUCAACCCAAACCCAUUUAAAGCACUAAGGGCGAUCCUUCUCGCACUCGAUCGAGGAAAAAUUAGUCUGAUACAUGUCAUGCUCUAAGGGUCACAGUCACACUUUCUAGCUCUAAACCUUGACGAAGGCACUUCCCUCGCUAUUUCAAUAUCUCUCUAUAAACUAUUUGCAGCAAGGGAAAGAAAGGGCGUAAAGGAAGCUACCGGUCCUCCCAUUACAGCAAGCCACUGGCUCACUUCCAUGGACUAAGGUGACGAAUCAGAUGAUGGUGAAUUCUGUUAAUGAUCUUUGUGGAUAAAUGGACGAAUCAGAUGAUGGUGAAUUCUGGCAAGUAAAACCAAAGUAUUAAAUUUGACCAGAACUUGAUAGAUGUAUUCUUGUAUGGUUUGAUUAAGGGAGAGUUCUUUGAUGCAGUUAAUGAUCUUUGUGGAUAAUUGGAGGUAUAAGCAAGUGGUUAUGGAAACCCAUGAGAAGCUCAAGUUAAAAAAGCUGAGAAAAAGGAAUCAUAGAGAGGUGGAAGCUUGCACCCCAUAUGAAGAGAAGCUUCUUUUAUGGGAUGGUAUAGCAUCCAUGUGAUGGAUGCUUGAACGGUUGAACCUGGUUUCAUUCAACAGCCAUAAAAUAAUUCUGUUUUUUUUUUAAAAAAAAAAAAAAAUAUCUUUGUUUAAAAUUUCGAAGUAUAAAUGCUUUUUUAUAUGGGAAAUCUAAUAAAAAAUGUUUUAAACAAAAAAAUUGACCAGAAUAUUUCCUAUGUUCAAGUUUUUAGUGUGCUAUCAUCUAUACCCAUAUAAAGAUCAUAUUUAACUAAAACAAAAAGGAAUUAUUUUGUGGCCCUUGGAUAUGGGCUCGUUCAAUCUGACGAGUCCACAUUAUGUGGAUGGGAUAUUUUCCUUUUGCUUUAUAGUGAAUUAGUCCCCACCAAUUCCCGAUUCAGAUCUGUGAUUCCUGAUCUGAAUUGCUGUUUUUUGAAACAUUGGUUUAUAGCGAAGUGAAUCCCUAAUGUUUAUUGAGUCCAACCUACCAUUUUAGUGACAAUGACUCCUAUUGAGAUAUUCUCAACGGCAAGUUUUAUGUGGGAUAUUAUAGUAUUUUUAUCAAUAAUCUAUUUAUUAGUUGA
Non-coding RNA from Amborella trichopoda, 1230 nucleotides. Lineage: Eukaryota; Viridiplantae; Streptophyta; Magnoliopsida; Amborellales; Amborellaceae. The record is from RefSeq and is a predicted model, not a curated record.